GUGACAUCUGGUUCUGACAGCCCAGCGCUGAGUCCUGCCUGGAUCUGAACAGAAUGACACAGAAGAUCAUGGAGCAUCUAAACACCCAGAAAAAUAAGAAGUUUUCCCUCCAGCCACCUGAUUCCAGCUUUAGAAGGAUUUGAAUGAAUUUGUAACUGCAGUUUGCAGAUCAGUUUCUGUAAGAGGAAGGUGAACGUCUUACCCCCAGAGGAGAGCUCCAGGGACUCAACCUCUGUUUGGUGAGAGGCGGCUGGGAGCUGGCCUAG
Molecule: long non-coding RNA, 266 nt
Organism: Ochotona princeps (American pika)
Lineage: Eukaryota; Metazoa; Chordata; Mammalia; Lagomorpha; Ochotonidae
Exons: 3
Source: RefSeq, a predicted model, not a curated record